UGCCUCAGCAAGGGAGAAAUUAUUAUAUAUUUAAUAAUUAAUUUAUAUAUAUAUAUAUUUUCUCAUAGAUUAAACAAUACACUUGCGUGGUCUGGGUUGUCAGCCAAAUCUACACUACAACUACACUGCAUUAUUUCUCCAAAUUUGACUUUCUUAAAUAUUGAAAUUAAUCUAAACAGAUCCGAAAAGAAAAUGAAUGAAUGAAUGAAUAAUGCAAUAAUUUUCUAGUUUAAACAAUUACAAUAUAUAUAAUUACAAUUAACUAAAAAAUUAAAUCAUAUACCUAUAAAUGCAUAGAGAAACUCACAAUAAUAAAUGGUCUACUAAUUUUUGUACAGUACAUUUUAUAUAUUAGCAAUGAAGUUUGCAUUGCACAUGCAUUCAUAUUGUUUAUCACUUAUUGUUUUAUAAUAUUGAUUUCAAUACCACUGCAUUCUCAUCACAGCACAUCAUUACUCCAUAUCACACUGUAUUGUUUGGUUAUAAUUUUUUUAUUUUCAAAAUGCAACUUUAUAUAUAAACAAUACAACAAAAUCCAU
This 539-nucleotide long non-coding RNA is filed under the name Danio rerio (zebrafish). RNAcentral's name for it is "lncRNA si:dkey-250k10.3 (ENSDARG00000100283.2)". The record is from RNAcentral. Lineage: Eukaryota; Metazoa; Chordata; Actinopteri; Cypriniformes; Danionidae.